UACGUAGGGGGCGAGCGUUAUCCAGAUUUACUGGGCGUAAAGCGCGUGUAGGCGGCUGGUUAGGUGUGAUGUGAAAUCCUCGUGCUCAACCCGAGAACUGCAUUGCAAACCGGCCUGGCUAGAGUGCAGGAGAGGGAAGCGGAAUUCCAGGUGUAGCGGUGAAAUGCGCAGAUAUCGGGAAGAACACCCGUGGCGAAGGCGGUUCUCUGGGACGGUACUGACGCUGAGACGCGAAAGCGUGGGGAGCGAACAGG
Molecule: ribosomal RNA, 254 nt
Filed under: uncultured bacterium
Lineage: Bacteria
Description: partial 16S ribosomal RNA
Rfam family: Bacterial small subunit ribosomal RNA
Source: RNAcentral